RNAcentral lists this long non-coding RNA (398 nucleotides) under Equus caballus (horse). RNAcentral's name for it is "lncRNA (ENSECAG00000055997.1)". Lineage: Eukaryota; Metazoa; Chordata; Mammalia; Perissodactyla; Equidae. The record is from RNAcentral.
GAACUUGGCCACGGAGCCGGCCCCUGAGGCUCUUCUUUCUUCCUAGGGCCCAAAUGGGGUCAUACACAGAGUUCUUAGAUCCUUGACCACACCACUGGUAGAGGCGGUGGGAGGAGAAGCAGAAGAAGAGCAACCAAGAAACAGCAAUUUAACAAGGAUAUAUGGAUCGAAACACCUUUAUGAAAAGUUCAGAAUCCAGUUAAGGAGUCAUAGUACUCCAGAUGAGCACAAAACAGAAAAUCACUGCAUUAAAAUAGGAGAGACUAUGUAUAGGAGAUUGGGUCCUAGAGAUAGGCUAGCCCCCAGCAGGGGAGGGUCCCAGAAGUCUUAUGUCUCUGAGGUGCGGACAAAAGAAAAACCUGUGACCGGCAAGCUAAAACAAGAUUAGAGGCUGACGG